Pelobates cultripes (western spadefoot toad) is the source of this 227-nucleotide non-coding RNA. NCBI's taxonomy places the organism in Eukaryota, Metazoa, Chordata, Amphibia, Anura, Pelobatidae. The record is from the annotation of a GenBank genome assembly.
CAGAGAGAGACAGACACUCAUAGACAGUCAGAGAGACAGACAGGCACUCAUAGACAGUCAGAGAGAGACAGGCACUCAUAGACAGUCAGAGAGAGACAGACACUCAUAGACAGUCAGAGAGACAGACACUCAUAGACAGUCAGAGAGACAGACAGGCACUCAUAGACAGUCAGAGAGACAGACACUCAUAGACAGUCAGAGAGAGACAGGCGCUCAGACAGUCAGAG